GAUCAUGGCUCAGGAUGAACGCUAGCGACAGGCUUAACACAUGCAAGUCGAGGGGCAGCAUGGUAGGUAGCAAUACUUAUUGAUGGCGACCGGCGCACGGGUGAGUAACGCGUAUGCAACUUACCUAUCAGAGGGGGGAUAGCCCGGCGAAAGUCGGAUUAAUACUCCAUAAAACAGGGGUGCCGCAUGGGAAUAUUUGUUAAAGAUUUAUCGCUGAUAGAUAGGCAUGCG
RNAcentral lists this ribosomal RNA (231 nucleotides) under uncultured bacterium. RNAcentral describes it as "partial 16S ribosomal RNA". It matches the Rfam family "Bacterial small subunit ribosomal RNA", at positions 15 to 235 of the family's 1533-position model. The record is from RNAcentral.